Molecule: ribosomal RNA, 449 nt
Filed under: uncultured bacterium
Lineage: Bacteria
Description: partial 16S ribosomal RNA
Rfam family: Bacterial small subunit ribosomal RNA
Source: RNAcentral
AACGAACGCUGGCGGCAGGCUUAACACAUGCAAGUCGAACGAGAUCUUCGGAUCUAGUGGCAGACGGGUGAGGAACACGUGGGAACAUCCCUUUCAGUUCGGAAUAACGUUGGGAAACUAACGCUAAUACCGGAUACGUCCUUCGGGAGAAAGAUUUAUCGCUGAAAGAUCGGCCCGCGUCUGAUUAGCUAGUUGGUGAGGUAACGGCUCACCAAGGCUACGAUCAGUAGCUGAUCUGAGAGGAUGAUCAGCCACAUUGGGACUGAGACACGGCACAAACUCCUACGGGAGGCAGCAGUGGGGAAUAUUGGACAAUGGGCGCAAGCCUGAUCCAGCCAUGCCGCGUGAGUGAUGACGGCCUUCGGGUUGUAAAGCUCUUUUGUCCGGGAAGAUAAUGACUGUACCGGAAGAAUAAGCCCCGGCAAACUUCGUGCCAGCCGCCGCGGUAA